Micropterus salmoides (largemouth bass) is the source of this 458-nucleotide long non-coding RNA. RefSeq lists it as uncharacterized. The transcript has 3 exons. NCBI's taxonomy places the organism in Eukaryota, Metazoa, Chordata, Actinopteri, Centrarchiformes, Centrarchidae. The record is from RefSeq and is a predicted model, not a curated record.
CACAAACACCUUCCUCAAUGUUGCCUUACUGGGAUUAAUCAGAAAAGAGCACAAAAGUCACACAGUGUUGUUGAUAAUGCCAAAAGCAUAUAUUUUUCUCUGCUUUCAGUCAUGCUGACCCUUGAUUGGGGUCCCCUUUUGUGUAAUCAUUUCAUACAUAUUCUUUAUUAUUGCAGCGUCCAGCUCUCCAUUUCCUGUGCUGUUGAUCGUUGGGCUGGUUAUUGGCAUCUUUCUGGUUGUUCCCCUGCCACUGCUGCUGUGUUGGUACAAGAAGUCCAAGGAUACAUGUUGUCACAGGUUCAUCCAGUCUCACAGGACCAAUCUGUCUUUCACAGAUACAUGUUGCCACAGGUUGGUCAACACUCUUGUCUCAUCUUAAACAUAAGAUUUAUUAACUGUCACAUUGAGCCAAGCGCAGACACAGAAACAAGGGAUCUGGGGGCCUGUACUCCAAGCUG